Long non-coding RNA from Centruroides sculpturatus (bark scorpion), 323 nucleotides. RefSeq lists it as uncharacterized. The record is from RefSeq and is a predicted model, not a curated record. NCBI's taxonomy places the organism in Eukaryota, Metazoa, Arthropoda, Arachnida, Scorpiones, Buthidae. The transcript is spliced from 5 exons.
CUUAUUGUUGAAUUCAAUUGAUUCCAAAACAGGAGAUGGGGAAUUUGCUUUCAUAACAAUCGAGUAUUCAUGUUAAAAAUGCGGGAUCCAUCUAACUGAAAGAAAAUAAAUCAGAAAUUCCCAUCUAACUUCACCAUGAUUCCAAAGAGUCCCAAAGAGACAUCGACACAUCGUACCAAAGAGAGCAUAUGGAUCGACAAUUAUGAAAGUCCUCCAUCUCACUUAAAGCUGUGUACCAUUCAAGAUCCCGGAGAAAAGGAGAUUUAAUGAUACGAGAAGUUGCAUCAACAUGAAAACAAAUGAACUAAAACUAAAAUUUGUUG